Unclassified non-coding RNA from Pongo abelii (Sumatran orangutan), 117 nucleotides. It matches the Rfam family "Metazoan signal recognition particle RNA". From Rfam's summary of the family: The signal recognition particle (SRP) is a universally conserved ribonucleoprotein. It is involved in the co-translational targeting of proteins to membranes. NCBI's taxonomy places the organism in Eukaryota, Metazoa, Chordata, Mammalia, Primates, Hominidae. The record is from Ensembl.
GCCGGGCAUGGUGGCUCAUGCCUGUAAUCCCAGCACUUUGGGAGGCCAAGGCGGGUGGAUCACCUGAGGUCAGGAGUUCGAGACCAGCCUGACCAACAUGGUGAAACCCCGUCUCUA